This 380-nucleotide ribosomal RNA is filed under the name uncultured eukaryote. RNAcentral's name for it is "partial 18S ribosomal RNA". It matches the Rfam family "Eukaryotic small subunit ribosomal RNA", at positions 592 to 976 of the family's 1831-position model. The record is from RNAcentral.
CAAUAGCGUAUAUUAAAGUUGUUGCGGUUAAAAAGCUCGUAGUUGGAUUUCUGCCGAGGACGUCCGGUCCGCCCUCUGGGUGAGUACAUGGCACGGCCUGGGCAUCUUCUUGGGGAACGUAUCUGCACUUGACUGUGUGGUGCGGUAUCCAGGACUUUUACUUUGAGGAAAUUAGAGUGUUUCAAGCAGGCACACGCCUUGAAUACAUUAGCAUGGAAUAAUAAGAUAGGACCUCGGUUCUAUUUUGUUGGUUUCUAGAGCUGAGGUAAUGAUUAAUAGGGAUAGUUGGGGGCAUUCGUAUUUAACUGUCAGAGGCGAAAUUCUUGGAUUUGUUAAAGACGGACUACUGCGAAAGCAUUUGCCAAGGAUGUUUUCAUUGA